Molecule: non-coding RNA, 45 nt
Filed under: Schistosoma curassoni
Lineage: Eukaryota; Metazoa; Platyhelminthes; Trematoda; Strigeidida; Schistosomatidae
Source: RNAcentral
AUCCAGUUGAUGAGUCCAAAAUAGGAUGAAAUGCACAUCCUAGAU